UGGUAAAUCUGUGGGUAAAUCAACCAGCUUAACUGGUUGAAUUCUGCAGAGACUGCCAGACUAGGGACCGGGAGAGGUGUGGGGUACUCUAGGGGUAGGGGUAAAAUCCUGUCAUCCUUAGAGGACCACCAGUUGCGAAGGCGCCACACUGGAACGGAUUCGACGGUCAGGGACGAAGCCUAGGGGCACGAACCGGAUUAGAUACCCGGGUAGUCCUAGGUGUAAACGCUGUGAACUUGGUGUCGGGGAUCCGUCAUGGGUCCCCGGUGCCGGAGUGAAGAUGUUAAGUUCACUGCCUGGGGAGUACGGUCGCAAGGCUGAAACUUAAAGGAAUUGGCGGGGGAGCACUGCAACGGGAGGAGCGUGCGGUUUAAUUGGAUUCAACGCCGGAAAACUCACCAGGGCCGACUGUUAGAUGAAGACCAGUGUGAUGAACUUGUCGGAUUUUCAGAGAGGUGGUGCAUGGCCGUCGUCAGUUCGUACUGUAAAGCGUUCUGUUAAGUCAGAUAACGAACGAGACCCUCAUCUCUAUUUGCUACCUGUCUCUCCGGAGACAGCGCACUAUAGAGAGACCGCUGGUGUUAAACCAGAGGAAGGCGAGGGCAACGACAGGUCAGUAUGCCCCGAAUGUCCUGGGCUACACGCGCGCUACAAAGGACGGGACAAUGGGAAGCCAGGCCGAGAGGUCGAGCUAACCCGAAACCCGUUCGUAGUUCGGAUUGAGGGCUGUAACUCGCCCUCAUGAAGCUGGAUUCCGUAGUAAUCGUGUUUCAAAAUAGCACGGUGAAUAUGCCCCUGCUCCUUGCACACACCGCCCGUCAAACCAUCUUAGUUGGGGGUGGGUGAGGCUGCGCUUCAUGGCGUAUUCGAGCCUGCCUUCGACAAGGAGGGUUAAGUCGUAACAAGGUAUCUGUAGGGGAACCUGCAGAUGGAUCACCUCCUAA
RNAcentral lists this ribosomal RNA (944 nucleotides) under Candidatus Poseidoniales archaeon. RNAcentral's name for it is "bacterial SSU rRNA". It matches the Rfam family "Archaeal small subunit ribosomal RNA", at positions 531 to 1478 of the family's 1478-position model. The record is from RNAcentral. RNAcentral also lists the same sequence under 1 other name. Lineage: Archaea; Methanobacteriati; Thermoplasmatota; Candidatus Poseidoniia; Candidatus Poseidoniales.